Molecule: ribosomal RNA, 646 nt
Filed under: Auritella fulvella
Lineage: Eukaryota; Fungi; Basidiomycota; Agaricomycetes; Agaricales; Inocybaceae
Description: eukaryotic LSU rRNA
Rfam family: Eukaryotic large subunit ribosomal RNA
Source: RNAcentral
UCAACCUCAAAUCAGGUAGGAUUACCCGCUGAACUUAAGCAUAUCAAUAAGCGGAGGAAAAGAAACUAACAAGGAUUCCCUUAGUAACUGCGAGUGAAGUGGGAAGAGCUCAAAUUUAAAAUCUGGUAGUCCUAUAAGGCUGCUCGAGUUGUAAUCUAAAGAAGUGCUGCCCGCGCUAGAAUCUAUGUACAAGUCUCCUGGAAUGGAGUAUCAUAGAGGGUGAGAAUCCCGUCUCUGACAUGGGCUUUCUGGGGCUUUGUGGCAUGCUCUCAAAGAGUCGAGUUGUUUGGGAAUGCAGCUCAAAAUUGGUGGUAAAUGCCAUCUAAAGCUAAAUACAGGCGAGAGACCGAUAGUGAACAAGUACCGUGAGGGAAAGAUGAAAAGAACUUUGGAAAGAGAGUUAAACAGUACGUGAAAUUGCUGAAAGGGAAACGCUUGAAGUCAGUCUCAUCAGCUUGGAAUCAACCUUUGCUUCUGCUGGGUGCACUUCCUUGAUUCUGAUGGGUCAGCAUCAAUUUUGGCCACUGGAAAAAGGCUGUAGGGAAUGUGACAUCUCUUUGUGGAUGUGUUAUAGCCCCAUGGUCAUAUGCAGUGGUUGGGAUUGAGGAACUCAGCAUGCCCGCAAGGGCUGGGUUUUUAUUAAAAC